UGGAUGGAGGGCAGUGAGAGGAUGUGUGUGAACUUUCUGUCAUGAAGGGCAAUUUGCAGGAACUAAUCAUCUUACAAUAGUUGGUCAUAAGAAAGAAAUCCAUCAGCCAAGCAUCCUGAAUAGUGACAGGUUGACAGAUAUCUACCCACUGUGAUGGACAGAAUUGUGUCCCCCGAAAAAUCCAUAUGUUGAAGUCCUAAACUCAGUAUCUCAGAACGUCUGGGAAGGACAAGAUAAAAGAGACUUCCAAGCAUGGGAAAGAGUAGGCCAUUGCUCCAGUGGCAGUGAGGCUAAGGACAGAAGACAGAGAGAACCAGUAGAGGACCAUCUUCACAGGGACAUGACGGUGGACUCCAGGGAUAGUGAUGUAUGGUAUCUUGUUUUAGAUUUCCUUUUCUCUGUAGUAGUUUGUUGAACAUCAUUACCUCAUGUUGUUGUGUUAGUAAAUAUUGAUGAAUGAAGAGAAGGUUCUGUAGCCAUGCUUUGGGGGAAAGUGGAAUAAAAAGGCUG
RNAcentral lists this long non-coding RNA (510 nucleotides) under Equus asinus (donkey). Its description in RNAcentral is "lncRNA (ENSEASG00005033883.1)". The record is from RNAcentral. Lineage: Eukaryota; Metazoa; Chordata; Mammalia; Perissodactyla; Equidae.